RNAcentral lists this ribosomal RNA (19 nucleotides) under Potentilla kingii. Its description in RNAcentral is "partial 18S ribosomal RNA". The record is from RNAcentral. Lineage: Eukaryota; Viridiplantae; Streptophyta; Magnoliopsida; Rosales; Rosaceae.
GAUCCUGCCAGUAGUCAUA